Molecule: transfer RNA, 69 nt
Filed under: Plesiops nakaharae
Lineage: Eukaryota; Metazoa; Chordata; Actinopteri; Plesiopidae
Description: tRNA-Glu
Rfam family: tRNA
About the family: Transfer RNA (tRNA) molecules are approximately 80 nucleotides in length. Their secondary structure includes four short double-helical elements and three loops (D, anti-codon, and T loops). Further hydrogen bonds mediate the characteristic L-shaped molecular structure. tRNAs have two regions of fundamental functional importance: the anti-codon, which is responsible for specific mRNA codon recognition, and the 3' end, to which the tRNAs corresponding amino acid is attached (by aminoacyl-tRNA synthetases). tRNAs cope with the degeneracy of the genetic code in two manners: having more than one tRNA (with a specific anti-codon) for a particular amino acid; and 'wobble' base-pairing, i.e. permitting non-standard base-pairing at the 3rd anti-codon position.
Source: RNAcentral
GUUCCUGUAGUUAAGUAAUAACGGUGGUUUUUCAAGUCAUUGGCCCAGGUUAAAUUCCUGGCAGGAAUU